Molecule: ribosomal RNA, 515 nt
Filed under: uncultured bacterium
Lineage: Bacteria
Description: partial 16S ribosomal RNA
Rfam family: Bacterial small subunit ribosomal RNA
Source: RNAcentral
GAUGAACGCUGGCGGCGUGCCUAAUACAUGCAAGUCGAGCGAAUGGAUUGAGAGCUUGCUCUUAUGAAGUUAGCGGCGGACGGGUGAGUAACACGUGGGUCACCUGCCCAUAAGACUGGGAUAACUCCGGGAAACCGGGGCUAAUACCGGAUAACAUUUUGAACCGCAUGGAUCGAAAUUGAAAGGCGGCUCUGGCUGUCACUUAUGGAUGGACCCGCGUCGGAUUAGCUAGUUGGUGAGGUGACGGCUCACCAAGGCAACGAUGCGUAGCCGACCUGAGAGGGUGGUCGGCCGCACUGGGACGGAGACACGGUCCAGACUCCUACGGGAGGGAGCAGUAGGGAAUCUUCCGCAAUGGACGAAAGUCUGCAGGAGCAACGCCGCGUGAGUGAUGAAGGCUUUCGGGUCGUAAAACUCUGUUGUUAGGGAAGAACAAGUGCUAGUUGAAUAAGCUGGCACCUUGACGGUACCCAACCAGAAAGCCACGGCUAACUACGUGCCAGCCGCCGCUGUAA